UACGAAGGGGGCUAGCGUUGUUCGGAAUCACUGGGCGUAAAGGGCGCGUAGGCGGCUUUAUAAGUCGGGGGUGAAAGCCUGUGGCUCAACCACAGAAUUGCCUUCGAUACUGUAGAGCUUGAGACCGGAAGAGGUAAGUGGAACUGCGAGUGUAGAGGUGAAAUUCGUAGAUAUCUGGAGGAACACCGGUGGCGAAGGCGGCAUCCUGGACCAACACUGACGCUGAGGAGCGAAAGCCAGGGGAGCAAACGGG
RNAcentral lists this ribosomal RNA (253 nucleotides) under uncultured bacterium. Its description in RNAcentral is "partial 16S ribosomal RNA". It matches the Rfam family "Bacterial small subunit ribosomal RNA", at positions 524 to 776 of the family's 1533-position model. The record is from RNAcentral.